GAUGAACGCUGGCGGCGUGCCUAAUACAUGCAAGUCGAGCGAACGGACGAGAAGCUUGCUUCUCUGAUGUUAGCGGCGGACGGGUGAGUAACACGUGGAUAACCUACCUAUAAGACUGGGAUAACUUCGGGAAACCGGAGCUAAUACCGGAUAAUAUUUUGAACCGCAUGGUUCAAAAGUGAAAGACGGUCUUGCUGUCACUUAUGGAUGGAUCCGCGCUGCAUUAGCUAGUUGGUAAGGUAACGGCUUACCAAGGCAACGAUGCAUAGCCGACCUGAGAGGGUGAUCGGCCACACUGGAACUGAGACACGGUCCAGACUCCUACGGGAGGCAGCAGUAGGGAAUCUUCCGCAAUGGGCGAAAGCCUGACGGAGCAACGCCGCGUGAGUGAUGAAGGUCUUCGGAUCGUAAAACUCUGUUAUUAGGGAAGAACAUAUGUGUAAGUAACUGUGCACAUCUUGACGGUACCUAAUCAGAAAGCCACGGCUAACUACGUGCCAGCAGCCGCGGUAAUACGUAGGUGGCAAGCGUUAUCCGGAAUUAUUGGGCGUAAAGCGCGCGUAGGCGGUUUUUUAAGUCUGAUGUGAAAGCCCACGGCUCAACCGUGGAGGGUCAUUGGAAACUGGAAAACUUGAGUGCAGAAGAGGAAAGUGGAAUUCCAUGUGUAGCGGUGAAAUGCGCAGAGAUAUGGAGGAACACCAGUGGCGAAGGCGACUUUCUGGUCUGUAACUGACGCUGAUGUGCGAAAGCGUGGGGAUCAAACAGGAUUAGAUACCCUGGUAGUCCACGCCGUAAACGAUGAGUGCUAAGUGUUAGGGGGUUUCCGCCCCUUAGUGCUGCAGCUAACGCAUUAAGCACUCCGCCUGGGGAGUACGACCGCAAGGUUGAAACUCAAAGGAAUUGACGGGGACCCGCACAAGCGGUGGAGCAUGUGGUUUAAUUCGAAGCAACGCGAAGAACCUUACCAAAUCUUGACAUCCUUUGACAACUCUAGAGAUAGAGCCUUCCCCUUCGGGGGACAAAGUGACAGGUGGUGCAUGGUUGUCGUCAGCUCGUGUCGUGAGAUGUUGGGUUAAGUCCCGCAACGAGCGCAACCCUUAAGCUUAGUUGCCAUCAUUAAGUUGGGCACUCUAAGUUGACUGCCGGUGACAAACCGGAGGAAGGUGGGGAUGACGUCAAAUCAUCAUGCCCCUUAUGAUUUGGGCUACACACGUGCUACAAUGGACAAUACAAAGGGCAGCGAAACCGCGAGGUCAAGCAAAUCCCAUAAAGUUGUUCUCAGUUCGGAUUGUAGUCUGCAACUCGACUACAUGAAGCUGGAAUCGCUAGUAAUCGUAGAUCAGCAUGCUACGGUGAAUACGUUCCCGGGUCU
RNAcentral lists this ribosomal RNA (1372 nucleotides) under uncultured bacterium. RNAcentral's name for it is "bacterial SSU rRNA". It matches the Rfam family "Bacterial small subunit ribosomal RNA", at positions 28 to 1381 of the family's 1533-position model. The record is from RNAcentral.